RNAcentral lists this ribosomal RNA (253 nucleotides) under uncultured Nevskia sp. RNAcentral's name for it is "partial 16S ribosomal RNA". It matches the Rfam family "Bacterial small subunit ribosomal RNA", at positions 524 to 776 of the family's 1533-position model. The record is from RNAcentral. Lineage: Bacteria; Pseudomonadati; Pseudomonadota; Gammaproteobacteria; Nevskiales; Nevskiaceae.
UACAGAGGGUGCUAGCGUUAAUCGGAUUUACUGGGCGUAAAGCGUGCGUAGGCGGUUUGAUAAGUCGAUUGUGAAAGCCCCGGGCUUAACCUGGGAAUUGCGGUCGAUACUGUCAGACUCGAAAACGGUAGAGGGAGGUGGAACUCCAGGUGUAGCGGUGAAAUGCGUAGAUAUCUGGAAGAACACCGAUGGCGAAGGCAGCCUCCUGGGCCUGUUUUGACGCUGAGGCACGAAAGCGUGGGUAGCAAACAGG